CCAGACUCCUACGGGAGGCAGCAGUGGGGAGUAUUGCACAAUGGGGGAAACCCUGAUGCAGCGACGCCGCGUGAGCGAUGAAGUAUUUCGGUAUGUAAAGCUCUAUCAGCAGGGAAGAAAAUGACGGUACCUGAGUAAGAAGCCCCGGCUAACUACGUGCCAGCAGCCGCGGUAAUACGUAGGGGGCAAGCGUUAUCCGGAUUUACUGGGUGUAAAGGGAGCGUAGACGGCUGCGCAAGUCAGAAGUGAAAGCCCGGGGCUCAACCGCGGGACUGCUUUUGAAACUGUGUAGCUAGAGUGCAGGAGAGGUAAGUGGAAUUCCUAGUGUAGCGGUGAAAUGCGUAGAUAUUAGGAGGAACACCGGCGGCGAAGGCGGCCUGCUGGACCGUAACUGACGUUGAGGCUCGAAAGCGUGGGGAGCAAACAGGAUUAGAUACCCCCGUAC
RNAcentral lists this ribosomal RNA (445 nucleotides) under uncultured bacterium. RNAcentral describes it as "bacterial SSU rRNA". It matches the Rfam family "Bacterial small subunit ribosomal RNA", at positions 331 to 793 of the family's 1533-position model. The record is from RNAcentral.